Molecule: non-coding RNA, 130 nt
Organism: Populus trichocarpa (black cottonwood)
Lineage: Eukaryota; Viridiplantae; Streptophyta; Magnoliopsida; Malpighiales; Salicaceae
Source: Rfam
UAAUCUAUCUGGACAGAUCCUCAUCUAGUUGUGACAGACUCACACUUGGCUACCCAAAAUCACCCGUUAUCGCAAGCCUAGCUACAUCAGAUACUAUGGAAGAUUAUCUUGGCAUUCCAUUGCAUAUAAU